This is a non-coding RNA of Coturnix japonica (Japanese quail), 418 nucleotides long. The record is from RefSeq and is a predicted model, not a curated record. Lineage: Eukaryota; Metazoa; Chordata; Aves; Galliformes; Phasianidae.
AUGAAGCCGGAAGUAGCGCUGUGAUUGGUGGCUCAGCCAGCCAAUGGGAAUAGCGGAAGUGGUUAAAAGGGGGCGGGUUUUGGUGGGCUGACGUCACUUCCGGCGCGGGAGCGGAGCGGCGCGAAAGUUUGGGGGGGGGGGGGGAGCGGGGGAAAGGGAACGAGCUGCCCGCCGCCGGAUGUGACGUCACGGGACCGGAAGUAUGGACGGGAAGGUCACGUGUUCCCCCUCCGCCCUCCGGGUGGCGCUGUGUGCCUGUUGGCAUGUCCUUCGUCGCCGUCGUCUUCGUCACCUCCCUCGUGUCCUGGCCCUAUUGGAGGCCGUGCUCAAAGCCGCCCCCAACGCCGUCACCCCACAACAUGGCGUCCGCCUCCGCCUCGGCCUGCAGGCUGCCCAUCCCUUGCGAUGACAAGAUGGC